AGUGAACGCUGGCGGUAGGCCUAACACAUGCCAGUCGAACGGCAGCACAGUAAGAGCUUGCUCUUACGGGUGGCGAGUGGCGGACGGGUGAGGAAUACAUCGGAAUCUACUUUUUCGUGGGGGAUAACGUAGGGAAACUUACGCUAAUACCGCAUACGACCUACGGGUGAAAGCAGGGGAUCUUCGGCCCUUGCGCGAUUGUAUGAGCCGAUGUCGGAUUAGCUAGUUGGCGGGGUAAAGGCCCACCAAGGCGACGAUCCGUAGCUGGUCUGAGAGGAUGAUCAGCCACACUGGAACUGAGACACGGUCCAGACUCCUACGGGAGGCAGCAGUGGGGAAUAUUGGACAAUGGGCGCAAGCCUGAUCCAGCCAUACCGCGUGGGUGAAGAAGGCCUUCGGGUUGUAAAGCCCUUUUGUUGGGAAAGAAAAGCAGCAGGUUAAUACCCCGCUGUUCUGACGGUACCCAAAGAAUAAGCACCGGCUAACGUCGUG
RNAcentral lists this ribosomal RNA (492 nucleotides) under uncultured bacterium. RNAcentral's name for it is "partial 16S ribosomal RNA". It matches the Rfam family "Bacterial small subunit ribosomal RNA", at positions 29 to 507 of the family's 1533-position model. The record is from RNAcentral.